RNAcentral lists this ribosomal RNA (433 nucleotides) under uncultured bacterium. RNAcentral describes it as "partial 16S ribosomal RNA". It matches the Rfam family "Bacterial small subunit ribosomal RNA", at positions 29 to 505 of the family's 1533-position model. The record is from RNAcentral.
AACGAACGCUGGCGGCAUGCCUAACACAUGCAAGUCGAACGAUUGCCUUCGGGUGAUAGUGGCGCACGGGUGCGUAACGCGUGGGAAUCUGCCCUUAGGUUCGGAAUAACAGCUGGAAACGGCUGCUAAUACCGGCUGAUAUCGCGAGAUCAAAGAUUUAUCGCCUGAGGAUGAGCCCGCGUUGGAUUAGGUAGUUGGUGGGGUAAAGGCCUACCAAGCCGACGAUCCAUAGCUGGUCUGAGAGGGUGAUCAGCCACACUGGGACUGAGACACGGCCCAGACUCCUACGGGAGGCAGCAGUGGGGAAUAUUGGACAAUGGGCGCAAGCCUGAUCCAGCAAUGCCGCGUGAGUGAUGAAGGCCCUAGGGUUGUAAAGCUCUUUUACCCGGGAAGAUAAUGACUGUACCGGGAGAAUAAGCCCCGGCUAACUCCG